This 316-nucleotide long non-coding RNA is filed under the name Oryzias javanicus (javanese ricefish). RNAcentral's name for it is "lncRNA (ENSOJAG00000020010.1)". The record is from RNAcentral. Lineage: Eukaryota; Metazoa; Chordata; Actinopteri; Beloniformes; Adrianichthyidae.
GGGGAGCGCUCGCGGGAGCGGCGCGUGACGGUAGGCCUGCUCCAUUGGCGCUCAAACAGCCGCAGAGGGACGGUCGCUACCGGAUGUUUUCGUCCACUCAGGUUCAGUUCCUCCUUUACCUGCCCACGUGUCAAGGUGUCCUUGGGCAAGACGCUGAACUUCACAAUGCUCCCAGUGGCCAGCACAAAUGUGAAGACAAGAUUUUCUGAAGCUGCAGUUCAGCACAUGGCCACAAGGAGACGACAGGGACCACAAACCUGACUGCCAGGCUGACUCCCCCUUGUCCUUCAGGUCCACUCGAAGCUCGUAGUGUCCC